UGGGGAAUAUUGGACAAUGGGCGGAAGCCUGAUCCAGCAACGCCGCGUGAGGGAUGACGGCCUUCGGGUUGUAAACCUCUUUCAGUACCGACGAAGCGAAAGUGACGGUAGGUACAGAAGAAGGACCGGCCAACUACGUGCCAGCAGCCGCGGUAAUACGUAGGGUCCGAGCGUUGUCCGGAAUUAUUGGGCGUAAAUGGGCUCGGUAGGCGGUUUGUCGCGUCGGGAGUGAAAACAGCGGGCUUAACUCGUUGCUUGCUUUCGAUACGGGCAGACUAGGGGUAUGCAGGGGAGAAUGGAAUUCCUGGUGUAGCGGUGAAUGCGCAGAUAUCAGGAGGAACACCGGUGGCGAAGGCGGUUCUCUGGCAUUACCUGACGCUGAGGAGCGAAA
RNAcentral lists this ribosomal RNA (391 nucleotides) under uncultured bacterium. RNAcentral's name for it is "partial 16S ribosomal RNA". It matches the Rfam family "Bacterial small subunit ribosomal RNA", at positions 355 to 758 of the family's 1533-position model. The record is from RNAcentral.